UAUGCCUAGCCGUAAACCUUGAUAGAAAUAUACAAUUGAUAUCCGCCAGGGAACUACAAGCGCCAGCUUAAAACCCAAAGGACUUGGCGGUGCCUCAGACCCACCUAGAGGAGCCUGUUCUAGAACCGAUAACCCCCGUUCAACCUCACCACCCCUUGUUUUACCCGCCUAUAUACCACCGUCGUCAGCUUACCCUGUGAAGGCCCCAUAGUAAGCAAAAUGGGCAAAACCCAAAACGUCAGGUCGAGGUGUAGCGCAUGAGGUGGGAAGAAAUGGGCUACAUUCUCUAAAUUAGAGCACUACGAACCACGCUGUGAAAUCAGCGUCCGAAGGUGGAUUUAGCAGUAAACAGAAAACAGAGAGUUCUCUUGAAACUGGCUCUGAGGCGCGCACACACCGCCCGUCACUCUCCCCAAGUUCAACCUGUCCUUCUAACUAAGAAGUUAACCGAACAAAGGGGAGGCAAGUCGUAACAUGGUAAGUG
This 484-nucleotide ribosomal RNA is filed under the name Oncorhynchus mykiss (rainbow trout). Its description in RNAcentral is "partial 12S ribosomal RNA". It matches the Rfam family "Bacterial small subunit ribosomal RNA", at positions 791 to 1502 of the family's 1533-position model. Lineage: Eukaryota; Metazoa; Chordata; Actinopteri; Salmoniformes; Salmonidae. The record is from RNAcentral.